This is a long non-coding RNA of Seriola aureovittata, 9233 nucleotides long. RefSeq lists it as uncharacterized. The transcript has 3 exons. NCBI's taxonomy places the organism in Eukaryota, Metazoa, Chordata, Actinopteri, Carangiformes, Carangidae. The record is from RefSeq and is a predicted model, not a curated record.
AAAUAUCCAGUCCUGCAAGUCCAGUCAGUGGGUCUGUGGUCUCGGUGGGAGCGUCUCCUGUCUCCAGAGCUCUCUGUACAUUCUGCCAGAAGACCCCCGUGUACUGGCCGGCCUGAGGCCAGUUCAGACACAUGAACAAACUACAUGAAGAAUAGGUGCCCCCACCUGGCCAUCUGGAUCUCUCUGGAGCACCACUCGCUCUGCAGAACAUGUUAAAAAAUGAAUAUAUAAAACAUCUGGUCCAGAUUGAAGAGGAGCUGAAGAAAUAGUCCAGUUGACAGGAAAUGAAUUGGCCGCUAUUUUGACUACUGAAUAAUUGUUUUAGCAAUUUAAAUAAAAAUGCUGUUGAAAAAACUGUUGCAUUGUUUUGUGUCUUUGUUGCUGUUUUGUGUAUUUUUGUUGCUUUGCGUCUCUGAUAAUGGUCAUAAAGCAAACAAACAAAAUCAAUUGUAGCUGUGAAUAUUUCAUCUGUUAACUUGGUCUCUGAUGAAUUGUGAUAAUCUUUACUGUAAAACUGGGCUCCAUAAAUCAUUCAUUUAUUGUAAAUGAAUAAUGAACUAAUUGACUAAUAAAUAGAUAAUGAAAAUAAUCGUUAGUAGCAAACUGGAAUAAUCAGACUUGAAUCAGUUGAAUCAGUUUGAUGAAACAUGUAAUUCUAUAUUAUUAAGGAUUUAUACUACUACUACUAAUAAUAAUGAUGAUAAUAAAAUAAAUAGAUUCACUGAUUGUAACUGAUUCCCCUCCCACAGCUGAGAGUGAGAUGAGAUGAGACAGUGUGGAGGAUCAGAGGAGGAUCUUUGUCUCUAACUAAGUCACUGUUUCAUCGCUCGGCCCGAAGCUGUUUUCAUUUAUUGAUGAGUCUGCUGAUCAAUACAUCGUGUAGCAACAAAUGACAGCUACAACUGAGUGGAAGUGUUCACUCAUUCAUAAUAGAUGAUGCUCUGCAGGGACCUCAGCCCCACAGCUGCUGAUGAACCGAUCAAAUAUCUGUGAUCAAUGGAGCCUGCCCCCUCAGGUAUCACUGAAAAAAGCACAUUCAGGUUAAAGCUGAUUUACAUUAUCGACAGUUGUCCGUGGCCUCUUCAUUAAUAUAACAGACUCUCCUCAUCUCAUCUCCUCAUCCUGAAACACACAGGCAAGAAAUGAGCUGAAUUUAUGUAUAAAUUUGAUUUAAAAUGUAAUCAGAUCUUCAUAUAAGUUACAAUCUAUUUUAACUAAUAACACAAAUCAUUGUGUUGUUCUUGUUCAAACAGUGUAGCUGGAAACAGUCAGUGAACCCCUCGACUAUGACAGGAACAGAAGCUAACUCGAGUCAGGCGUUAUCAGACCUGAAGUCCAUUCAGUGAAACCUGAUUGGAGGUGUGGGUUACACUUUUAUAAAAAACACACAGACAUUUAGAGAAACAUCAGCUGAUAUGAACCAAAGAUUCAACAAAGAUCUCAAAAAACUGAGGAUGAAGAAGAGUUGAUGAGCAUGAAGCUGAGAGGGUCACAGAGUCAUCUCAAAGACUUUAGAUCUUCAUCAGUCCACUGUCAGACAAACUGACUAUGAAUGGAUAUGAUUCAGUUCUGUGGCUAAAACACUGUUGUGGACCAGGACCAGGGAUGUGCUGGAACCACUUUGCAGCUAUAAGAUGUGAGGAUCUGCUGCUAACAUGUUUCCAGAAACCACAGGGACCUUCAGAAGAAGAGUAAAUGUAUUGAUACUCAGUUUCUGUCUCUGUGGUCAUGGUGACAAACUACAACUUAUGGAGGUGUUUGAAGUUUUUACGGAUUUAACAACAAAUUUAACACAGUGCUUCUUCCUGAGCAUCUAACGGCCCCACCUCGUCACUCUCUGUAAGAUAAAACCUUCUGUCAGGGUUAAAAACCAAAGCUCCCAUGAGGCAGUGAACAAACAGAACUGAGGGUGGAGGGUGGGACUAAGAGUUUCCAGCGCCGCACUGACCUGUGUAACUUCAGCCAACGACUGGAGCUGCUCAGACUGUGAGGCUAGAGAUGUUUUGUGUCUUUGUGGUGGUUCCAUUUAAUUUUCCUAACAUGUUGCUGUGAAUUAAAAGAUUGAACAUUUUUUUGUCAUAAAAAGAAGAUCUCAGUUAUUUACACUGUUUUAUAAAAAUAGAAUUAAAAAUGAAGUGGCGAACACACCAGCUGCUCAUUAAACCCACAGCUGAUGUUUCUUUAUUUGUUCUUAAUUCUCACAAAUUGUUUUUACUACAAUAAUAACAUUGUUUCUGCUCAUUAUGUCACCACCUGUUUUUGUAUGUAUUUACCUUCAACAACCUUUCACCUUAUUUUACAGUAUGUUGUGUGUUUGUGUGUGUGUCACUGCCAAUGGGAGAUGUUAGCACCCUCACUACUAUUUCCAGAUCUGGUUGCCAUGGGAACAGCUGGAUUGGCAUGAAAGACACUGGGUUGUGGUGAUUGUGUGUCUGUUUGUGUGAACUCGCUAGCAAGAGUCCACAGCUAAACAGACACACACGCACACCUUGUCCACGGUUUUCUGUGUGUUAAUGACACAAAAGUAAAGAACAACUUUACAGUUGACGUCUUCAAGGGUUCACUUGGCUCUGAGGAACUGUUACAUUCGGUAACAGGAACCAAGACCCAACCCAGGACCCCAGUCGGAGCAGGACCUGAGCCAGACCAGGACCUGAGUUGGACCAAGAAAUCUGAUUGUGUUGGAUCUCAGUUGGAUCUGAUUGGACUUGAAUAGUAUCAGGUGUUUGGAGGUGAGAGGGAGAAUAGCAGCAGGGAAUUAUUGAUCAUCAGCUGCUGCCGGUGUUUGUGUUUUGGAGUCUAAUUACCCUCAGAUCCAUUCGGGUUGAGUCUGGCUCCGCCCUGGUGCUCCUUGGAACGGGUCUUAACUAAUUUAUGCAUGUUGGGUUUGGGUAGGUUUCCCACACGUCUAUUUUGGAUUGAAGCAAAAUUCUGGAUGUGUGUAGACGUAAAACUUUACAACAAAUGAGCAGAGUCUAAACUGAAACAAUGAGGGCACAGGCCUUCUUCCUCUUCAAGAGCAGAACCACAGGAUGGAGGACUCGUCAUAGAUCUGGAGUGAACCUGUAGCUGAGGCAUAUGUCCACUUUGACAGGUCAGUAAUCCAGUCUUGGGUUCAGGGCUCUGGAUUCAAGGACACAAACUGCCUGUGACCUUUUUUUUUUUUUUAUUUAGUAAAAGCAUGUUGUGUUUUGUCACUCUGCCCGUCGACCAUCUGUCCACCUUCAUGUAUGAUGACUCACACACGCAUGCAGAUUAUGGAAAUACAGGCUAAUAUUAGAUUUCCAUAUGACUGUCCACAGAGUGAGGAGACAGCGUGGAGCGGCUUAACACAUCAACGUCUUCACAUCUUCCUCGUCUUACUCCUCCUUCUGCUGUUUGAAUUUCACACAGGUUUGACACUGGUUUAAAAAUCAAACUCAAAUGAACUCAAAUGAGAUUUGGAAAUUUAGUAAAACACGUGUGUGGCAACCUUAUAAAUUACAGGCUGUGAAUUCACUAAAAUGAAAUAGCCAUCAGUAAAGGAAAAAAAAAAAGUAGCUGACGAGAGCUAAAACAAGAAUCUCUAAAUUAACACUUAAAUUAAAAUAUAUAACCAAUAAACAGUGUAUUUUAUAAUUAUAAUAUAAAAAUGUAAUAUAUUCUGAAUCUAAAAAAAAAGUUGUUAAUCUAUAGAUAAUCGUAGGUUGGUCCAAAACUUUUUUCCAGACCUUUUCAUCUAGCACCAUCAUCAGGUCACAUUUGAAUUUGUCAUGUAUCUUCAGAACUAAAGACAUUCCCAUCAGCCUCAGCAGAACACUGUGUUUAGAGCUACUUAGGUAAUGUUAGCAUGCUAACACGCUAAACUGAGGUAGUGAACAUGGUAAACAUUGUGAUAGUGAGCAUGUUAGCAUGCUGAAUGACUGUCUUGUUAGCGACUGAGAGGCAGCUGUCAACAAAGAGAAAAUGAGAAGGAAAAAAGAAAGAUCCUGGACUAGACUGAAGGCCCUUUCAUCUCCGUUGGAACAAACAAACAAACAAACCAGACAAAAAAAGAAAAUAAACAAACAACAACAAGCAAAUGAACUGCAAGAGAAGAAAACUAAACAAAACAGCAAAAUAGGACAAACAGACAAACAAAAAAAGAACACACACACACACACACACACACACACACACACACACACACACACACACACACACACACACAAAUUCAGUUUUGGUCCAACAGGAAGUUUUAUUUCUUUACAAAACAAGAGCGUGGACUCAUAAAGGAGCUCAACAGAAGGCAGGAAGAUAAAUCUACAUGACAACUUUCAACCACUUAGAAAAUAUAGAGGAGCUCUGUUCACACACUGAUACAUACAAUCUGCACGUCAUUUAUACUGUAAAAAAGAAAAACAGAGAACCAGAAAAUCUGCACGUCACCUACACUGUAAAAAAAAAAAAAGAGCAAGAAAAACAGCUGGUUGUGUUGUUUGAAACAAGCCAGCAAUUUUGUAAAGCCAGUGAGUGGACGAUAUAAACCACUGAAUUAAUGACAUGUGAUUUCAAACUUCAAUUUCCAUGUUUUGGAUUUCUAAAUACUUAGAUUCAACAAUUAAAUAUUUUACUUUGAAAAUCAUGUAGCCUACACUAAAAUCACCAAUGCAAAUAAUCAAACUUUAUAGAUUUCUGCUUGUUUUAAAGGUGACCUUUUGCAAUAAAAAAAAAAAUUGCUAUUCAAAAAAAAAAAGAAAAAAAAAGAGAGGGACAAAGUUACACACUAUUUUAUUAAUAAAACAGAAAAACUAAGCUGGACCUGACCAUUUCUUUCCUGAUUCUCAUUGACAAUAAAGUGUAAGUUUGAAAUCUGAUUUUUAUUUUAAUGUUCAUUUUCAAAAUUAAUAAUACAUAAUAUUUUUAAUACAUUUUUGUGACUUCAAGUUCAAAAGUUAAAAGAAUCUAAAAAUGCAGAGAGAAAUUCAACAUGAUUUUCAAAUUAAAAGAUUUCAGUUUUAUGAUUUCAGUGGUUAAAUUUGACUUUGAUUUGCUGUUUCAUACGACCAGUUGUUUUCCUGUUUCGUUUGUUUUUGAGUGCAGAGCAGAGCCGAAAAAUAAAAUCAAAGAAAGAAAAAAAGCUCACGUGUCCAUGAAGCGCGUACUUAAAUUCUUUAUCAAAACUAAAAACUUUGCAUUGAUAAAAUACAACGUUAAAGGUAUAAUACAGUGUCAUGACUUAGAAAACAUCACAGAUUCUGUUUUCCUGUCGUCACCAGAUAAUGAAACACUGCAGAGAGAAGGACACGUGAUUCGUACGAAACCCUGAAAACGCUGCACUGAAAUUUACAGGAGUGAUCGUUUGUUUCUGUGACACAACUUUUUCAAAGCCACAACACUGAAAAGACCAAAACAGUUUGUCAUUUAUUUGUUAAAAAAAUCAAUUUAAAACGAGAGACUUCACAGUUUCAGGAGAGACGCACAUCCAACAGCAAGCACUUAAAGGGAAAGUCCACCCAAAAAUCCUUCCACAUAUGAUGCAGUUAGAACUCUUAGUUACAUAACUCUCUAGUUAUGGAAUGACAAAAGCUUCUUUAUUCUUUAUUGUCUCUUUGUUGCCGUUCCUUUGACUCUUUGUGGUCAUUUUACUUCACUUUGUAGUUGUGUUGUGUUUCCUAAGCGUCUCUUUGAGGUCAGUUUAUGUCUCUAGUCUUUUUUUUUGUCUCUCUGGUCAUUUUGUUGAUUUUUUGUCCAUCUGUUGUUCUUCUUCCUCAUUCUGUCACUGUUUUACAACACUUAAUGGUUGUAAUUGUGUCUAACACUAAAUGGUCGUAUUUGGUUUCUGUGAUCAUUUUACAACACUUUGGAGAUGUUUUGUGUCUCCUUGUAGUUGCUUUCUGUCUCUUUAGAAUCUUUUCAGGUCAUUAUAUGUCUCUAGUCAUUUUUCACCUCUUUGUUGUUCUUCUACAUCACUUUAUAGUUAUUUUUUGUGUCUUUGCAGUCGUUUGCUUGACAUUCCAGCACAAAACAUUAACAGUCACUUCAAACAGCAAAUCUGGACCAGGGGUCAUCUGACCCUUUGGGCUCCUGGUCAUUGAUCCAUGACUCAGGUGGAUUUUCCCUUCAAGUACAGCGAGGGAGGAAAAACAAACAGUUUGGGUAAACCAGCAGUUCGAGGGCAAAGUUCAGCUCAGAAGCAGCGGCAGCCCCCGAAAUUUAACAAGAACAAACACAGAGAAACACUCACAGAAAGAAGAAAACCAGUCCCGACUCCCUUAAAGGGUAAAAAACAGCAGCGAUGCAGCUGCUGGAGAUUCUAAUCCUAUGUAAACAGGCUUAGUGUAAGGCAAGGAGGAAGAGGAGGAGGAGGAAGGAGUUAGAGACAGAGGCUCAAGUGAACUUUAAGACGAGACAGACUAGGAGGGAUGACGGUGUGGGAGGAAGACAGGAUGAUGAAGAGGAUGAGUAAGCGGUGGGCGGCGGACAGGCGAGGAGGAGGAGGAGGAAGAGCAAGAUGCAGAUGGCUGAAAGGCAGACAGCAGAAUUAAAGGGAUCAGGCUCAGACACAAACUUCUCCUGAACACUUGACUCAGAAAGCAGCCGACAGUGAACGCCUCGCUCAACAACAAGCUGCUCCAUCUUUACCAAUGUCUUUAAACCAGCUGUCGACUGUGAGUCCGUCAGUUUGUUUUCUUAAACAUAAUAAACUGCAAAUGUAAUGUCUCUGCAUUAAAAAGGCUGUGAUCAAAAAAAGUACAGAGGGUCACAAAGAACAUGAUAUUCUUCAAUUUUCUUUCUUCUGAGCAACAAGAAACCUGUUUUACAAUGUUAAAAUAAGAAUUGUUAUUGACAUCACAAAACAUAUUUAAUAAAAAUGAGAAAAGUUUGUAAGAAAAAUCUUUCUUUCUGGGAUAAAUAUUUCAAAAAGUAGUUUAAAAUGUUCCUCAGUUCUCCCAAAUAUCAAUAAUUGAAUUUGUGAUAUUUUAACAAUUACAUUUUUGUUUUUCACACUUUAUUUAAUAUCAAACACACACCCUUAAUUCAGUCAGUUAUAUCAAUAAUUGUAUUCUUAACAUUAAAAUGCGUGAAUGAAGACUUGUCAUUGCAAUUUACUUAAAACUUAUUCCUAGAUCUUGAAAUAAAUGAUCAUAAGAAAAAAUCUAGAAUUUUUUAGAAUGUAUAGGCUACAUUUUUAAUUUAUCAUGAUAAAACAUCAUCAACAUCAGGUGUUUUUUAAACCUAUUCUAGAUGUCAGUUUUUAAUAUUAUAAUUCAUUUCUUAACAUGUAAUUGGACUAAUUAACAAACUAUUUAUUUUUGGACGAAAAUGAAUCUAAAAAAAAAAAUACCCUGGAACACCCAGUGUGUAUUUUUUUUUUAGAUUCAUUUUCGUCCAAAAAUGAGAAGUGUUCUAGGGUAUUUAAGUCCUCCCUGCUAAAUAACCUCUCUGCAGGUACACCACAUUUUGGUUUGGUUAUAGUGCCUUAGUUUAAUCCUCACUCAUGCCCACCACACACUGGUAAUGUUUCUGAUUUCUACACCGCAUACUCGGAGGAUUUAAUUUGAUAUCUUAAUGUGGUUCAAUAAAAUGAUGAGACUUUGGAAAAGGAUGGAAAUCUGAUAAACAUAAUACACUUCUUGUAAUCAUUGGACUAAGACUAACAAACUGCUGAGCUGGAUCAAUGCUCCACCUGUUCUAACAUCUCUUUGUUUUCUUUGUGUGAUUCUUACAAAAUAGAAGCCUCCAUCACAUAACGCGGCUCUGAUCUAGCCUCAUGUUUCUUCUUCUCUGGUCGUUGGGUGUGUGGUCAGAUUUGUCUCACUCUCCUCCCAUGUGUGCUCAUGAUUACUCAGGCACAGCUGUGUUUUUUUCCUCUUGAGUUUGGCUGGAUAAAUGAAGCUUCUUUCCUCUUUAGAUGUUUCUGCUGGAUGUGGCUCGGCCUUCUGUGUUUAACCACAGAGGCUUAAUUGAUGUCUUGCUUUCUCUUUUCUUUUUGCCUCUUGCUGGUCUCAUGUUUAUCUUGAUGGAUUUAGCUGAAUUUUCUUGAUUCUGUCUCUCAAUGAUUUAAAAAGAAAAAGAGACAGAAAGGAGGAGAAGAGGGAGACUUAGCCGACAUUUUUUUUCCCUUCACUUUCUGGUGAGUGAACGGUGCUCGUCUCUCUCCAUCUUGUUUCCAUCUGUCCCUGUGCACUCUUAAAACAGUUGAUAAUUAAAGUCAUCACUGUCGUCCUGGGGAAACAGGCUCCAUUAACAAACAGCAGAGUCAUUUAGAUGUGUCUCUAAUGGAGCUGUUAAAGCUCAGACUAAAUGAUCUCCACCUGUUGAUGAAGAGCAAUUUGUACUGGCUAAGCCCUCUAAUAUUUAUAGCUAAGAUGCCUAAAUUUAAAUGCCUCACUGAUGUGUUAGCUGUAGUCAUGUCUAUCCAUGCAGAUAGUGGUUUUAUUUGUCCAGGCUUUAAAAUAUCUGCCUCUACUCUAAUGUAGGGGGAUGAAUGGAAUUUAGUUUUAAAGAAGCGGCAUAUUAAAUUUUAAACACGUCUUACCAGAAACACUGAGGUUCCCACAGGAAUCACUAAUUCGAACACAUUUGUUCUUCGGUGCACAAAUGAGUGAUUUAAAACAGCUUCAGUUAUGUCUUGAUCACAACACAAACUUAAUUCAUUAGACGUUCAGGCAGAACAAGUCAUGUACAAAAUGUCUGCCUUUCUCAAAACAGAUGAAAACCACUUUGCUUCAGUAAAACAUCAACUUCAUCAACUUCAAGUGAUAUGAACAUAUUACUCCAAUACUUACAAAUUUACACUGGCUGCCUGUUACAUACAUUACAUUCUACUCAUCACCUUCAAAGCAUUAAAUGGCCUCACUCCAAAUUUUAUCAUUAUUAAACCAAUAUGUGCCUAGGCGUCUACUUGGAUCGGAGGGAGCUCUGCUGGUUAUUCCAGGGUCUCGGCUGCUGACUAAAGGUGACCUUUGCUGUCAGAGCCCCCAAACUGUGGAACAGUCUACCCACUGAGAUCAGACUGGCUACGUCUUUAGUGUCUUUUAAAACUAUUCUAAAAACAUUCUUUUAUCAGAAAGCUUUUAUGAAUGUUUGAUAUGUUGUUGUGUUUUAUUUAGUUGCGUUUUAUUUUUCCAUGAUACAGACAUCUAUAUCUAUCAUGUUUGUUUUUCUCAUGGUUGUAAUCGCUGUUUUAAAUUCCCCUUUUUCUUUCUGUAAAGCACUUUGUCAGUUUGUUAAGAAAAGUUCAAAAUAAAUAAAGUUUAUUAUUAUUAUUA